CCAUAGGCCCUUUUCAUGGCCACACUGAGAGAAAAGUAAAUUGUU
Molecule: non-coding RNA, 45 nt
Organism: Picea glauca (white spruce)
Lineage: Eukaryota; Viridiplantae; Streptophyta; Pinopsida; Pinales; Pinaceae
Source: Rfam